Molecule: ribosomal RNA, 419 nt
Filed under: bacterium
Lineage: Bacteria
Description: partial 16S ribosomal RNA
Rfam family: Bacterial small subunit ribosomal RNA
Source: RNAcentral
UGGGGGAUAUUGCACAAUGGGCGAAAGCCUGAUGCAGCGACGCCGCGUGGGGGAUGAAGGCCUUCGGGUUGUAAACUUCUUUUGCUCUGAACAAGGCAUGCUAAUGGGUGUGUUGAGUGUAGGGGUUGAUUGGCGCCGGCUAACUACGUGCCAGCAGCCGCGGUAAUACGUAGGGCGCGAGCGUUGUCCGGAAUUAUUGGGCGUAAAGGGCUUGUAGGUGGCUGGUUGCGUCUGUCGUGAAAGCUCAUGGCUUAACUGUGGGUUUGCGGUGGGUACGGGCUGGCUUGAGUGCAGUAGGGGAGGCUGGAAUUCCUGGUGUAGCGGUGGAAUGCGCAGAUAUCAGGAGGAAUACCGGUGGCGAAGGCGGGUCUCUGGGCUGUUACUGACACUGAGGAGCGAAAGCAUGGGGAGCGAACAGG